UAGGGAAUUUUCCACAAUGGGCGAAAGCCUGAUGGAGCAACGCCGCGUGCAGGAUGAAUGCCUUCGGGUUGUAAACUGCUUUUCUGUGUGAAGAAUAUGACGGUAACACAGGAAUAAGGGUCGGCUAACUACGUGCCAGCAGCCGCGGUCAUACGUAGGACCCAAGCGUUAUCCGGAAUUACUGGGCGUAAAGAGUUGCGUAGGUGGCAUAGUAAGUGGAGCGUGAAAGCGUGCGGCUCAACCGCAUAUCCGCGUUCCAAACUACUAAGCUUGAGUAUAAGAGAGGUAGAUGGAAUUUCUAGUGUAGGAGUGAAAUCCGUAGAUAUUAGAAGGAACACCGAUGGCGUAGGCAGUCUACUGGCUUAUUACUGACACUAAGGCACGAAAGCGUGGGGAGCGA
Molecule: ribosomal RNA, 400 nt
Filed under: uncultured bacterium
Lineage: Bacteria
Description: bacterial SSU rRNA
Rfam family: Bacterial small subunit ribosomal RNA
Source: RNAcentral